Molecule: long non-coding RNA, 3727 nt
Organism: Acanthaster planci (crown-of-thorns starfish)
Lineage: Eukaryota; Metazoa; Echinodermata; Asteroidea; Valvatida; Acanthasteridae
Source: RefSeq, a predicted model, not a curated record
ACGCCCAGCGCACGCGCAGUGUCAUAUGCAUGCGAAGCCGCGGGGCUCGAAUUAUUCAAGUGGGUGGUCCUAUCGCUGACGUGUGGGGGAGGGGUAGAUGUGUAGAUGGCAGUGUCACCAUGGUCAAACACUGCUACCAGUGCAUGUAGAUUGUAGACCAGUUGUAGUGUGAAACCAGUUCUCUGGGUAAGUGUCUACCCGGUUUCUUCCUCGCCCUGAGCCACAGGAACAUCAUGGAUCACAGAUGGAGGUGACAGGAUUGAUGAAGUCAGGACGUAACAAGACAGUGCACUGACAUGUAAUAAUGAACAUCAUGUCUGGAGAAAGCUCUCGAUACCUGUCUCAUGCAAAGAAUGGCAAGGACCAGCUUGAGUUAGAAGAACAAGAGAAGCAUGCAGACAUGAAGUGUGGUGAUGUAUGUAUUCAUGUAACUUCCAAAUGCAAGUGGGAAAUCAAGUGACUCCACCUGCUUGGAUUUGGCUGUGAUCCUGAACACUGUUUCUGCAUUGUGUCAUCUGUACCUGGGAAUGUGGGAUUUCCAUCUCAUCCUCAUCCUCCAGUUCUUCUUCCUCCUCAUUCUCUUCAUCUAAGGAACAACUCAAAAUGCCAAGAAGUAUUGUUGAUGGGAGGGUUACUGAUGAUGCAGUGUCCAUGAGGUUGAAUUCAUGUGGGGAAAGUAGUGGAAAACAAGAGUCAGUACCAUAUGGAUCCAUUGAUGUGUAUAGCCUAGAAUGCACCAUUGCUUUGAGUACAGUGAAGCUACCAACCUCGAGACAAAUCCAUAAAAUUCUCCAAGGGAGGCUUGUUUGACAAUAGAUGAGACAAUAUACUGUACAAGAGUGUCUCACACUCAUCCAGCUGAGGUUGGGAAAUAACUAGAUGACUUGACUCAAGAACCCCUGUUAAUUACUAGACUCUGCUUCACUUCAGAAAGGUUCUGUAUAUAGAUGCCAGAUGUCUGUGUAGUUGGCUCUGGACAACAACAGUGGGUCAUCAGUGAUCUUCCCUUGAGGCAACAAAUUACUCAAAAUUUAAAGAGUGGUGCCUGAGAACAAAUCUCAUGAAGUUCCGGUCGCACAGCCCAGCAGGACACCACAGGCCCCUUACUGAAUGGAGGAGAAUCCAGCUCGGUGAGAGAUACAACCACGCUGCCAAUCUCCACAGCUCCAACUGGAAGAAACCGUCCCUGCAAGGAAUGAUGCUGCAUUAACAAGCUCCAGACUGGAGAUGGGCGGAACCUACCACAGCGGACUCAGAUAGGUGAGAGUGUGGAGAGCCACAAACAGCAGACUACCUUCAUCAUGGAUUGCUGCAUCCAAUGCCUGGAAGGAGGCUAAGACUACCUUAAGAAAACUAACUCUUGUAGCAAAGACCUGGCAUAGGACAGAUACCUUUCCCAGCCAGGAAAACCACACACCAUAAGAAAAACAUUUAUCUGGGCCAUCCGUUUCUGUGUGUAGCAACUCAAUCUAAUUUCUAUCCAUUUACAUUCAUGUACUCCUGGGCAGAGUGAGGCAAAUUGUGAUCAUGGAACACGAGCACUGUCGCAUCCCAUCGCAUAGCAGAACCACUUGACUACGGUAGUGCAAAGUGGGCCUUAAUCAUGCAUAUUGACAUUUACGUCAGUGUGACAUGGAUGAGUCAUUCUAAGGGAGUGCAUUUUGAAAAUGCAUUGAACCAGGAAGAAAUGAUAUUGGGAAAUAAAAGGUAGAUGCAGUAAGUAAACCAUACCUUUCAUGAAUUUAAGGGAUGCGUGUGUCAUGCUUGUCCAAUGUGUUCUAUACGAAGAUACACUCUCCAUUGUAGGUAACCAUGCAAGAGCUCUAUCGCAAAACUUUUAAAAGAGUUAAUAUUUACGGGAAGAUUUUUCAUUUCAAAUUUAAAGAUAGUACUCCGAGGUGGUAUUUAUAUAAAACAAAGAUGGACAAGGUUUUGCAUUUACCAAACAACGGUGCAGAAUGCUCUGUGGAUCUCGAGUUAUUGAUUACUCUUAAUGUUGACUUUUGCAUAAUACACAAUAGGUAAUGGUACAAAUAGGAGGGGUUAGUGUUAUCCCAAGCUACAAAAUACAAUAUUGAAGGUGUGGCAUGGACAAGGUAUAUAAAUUAAGAAUAAGAUAUCGGUCAUGUUUAAGUGUUCUUAAUUUUUUGCCUUGGUUCCGAGAAAGUGACAUGAGGACUUUUUGCCAAUGUUGCUUCCAAGAAAGUUUGUUAUCACUAAUUACACCUAAAUAUUUACAGGUAUCAACUUGUUCUAUCUGUGUAUUAUUCAAGUAAACAGUGAUAUUCCUAGUAACUUUACAAUUAGCAAACAACAUACAUUUGGUUUUAUUGAAGUUAAUGGAUAAAUAAGCACAUUCAAGCCACUCGAAGAUUUUGCAUAGUUUCCGAUUAAUAGUGUGAAUUGCCUUAGGUAAGUACUUACUGCAAUGGAAAACAUUAGUGUCAUCCGCAAAUUAAAUAAAGGAGAGUAUACUCGACGAGUUACAGAUAUCAUAUUUGUAAAUCAGAAAAAGUAUAGUACCAAGUAUUGAGCAAUGAGGGACGUCACGUCUGAUUGGUGCAAAUGAAGAGUUGAUGUUCUACCAUACAACAUACUGUUUCCUGUCGCUUACGUAAUUUUUGAACCAUUCUAGAGCAACUCUAAUUCCAUAUUUAUUUAGUUUACUAAUCAGUUUCUUUAUGAUCUUUUGUGUCAGAAGUCUUUGACAGAUCCAAAAAUAACCCAGUCGUAUAAAGACAGUUGUCGAGUGAUGAACUUAUUUUUAUCAAGGUCGAUCAGUGCAAGUUGAGUUGAGUAGCUGGCUCUAAAUCCGUAUUGUGUUAAAUGUUACAUUAUCAAUUAAGUUGUACGUUCGAAUUGCUACCAGUCUUUCUGGUAAUUUAGAGAAACACAGUAAAAUAGAAAUAGGGCAGUAGUUGCUCAUAAGAGAUGGGUCACUAGUUUUGUAUAUCGGGAUAACAUUAGUUGUUUUUAAAUCAUCAGGUACUUCACCAGCAUCAAAAGAGCGGUUGAAGAUUGUUGCCAGAGGACAGGUUUUUCAACUAUCCAAUAGCCGAAGUGCAGUUUGUCGACAAAGAAGUAUUUGUAGAAAAUAACUCUGGGACAAAUGUAUGUUGUCAUAACUGCGGAGGAGAGAUCCUUGAGCUAACUAACCAAAUCAGUCAUUCCAAAAGAUGACAAUCCACGUGUUCAUACAUACAGUGCUUUCAAGGUUCCUUAAACUACUCUGAUACUUCCAAAGAUAGAAAUUACUAACUAUACAAUCAACUACGGUAUGAGAAUUUAAGUAGAACCUCGAAUACACAACUAGUUGGACACUGGAAAAACAUGUUAAGUAUUGACGGGCGGAUUUACUCUAUUUGCAGCUUGGCCAAUAACUGUCAAUGAACAAUGCUCCAAAGUAAAUUGUGUGAACAUCCUCCCCAAAAGAGAAAAAAACAAAGAAACGAACACAGACUUCGGCACUGCACUGGUUUAUUUAUUUCCGUUAUAAAUCUUUUCAGUUUUCUUGUAUUAAUUGACUGUGUGAAACAAAACUGUAUGUACAUGUAAAUAUAAUGUACAAGUAAAUAUAAAUAAAAAUGUAAACACUCGUUUUAUUUAUUUAAGCCAUUAAGUAUGUACAUACACUUGUAGAAUGUAAAACUUUUACUGCUUAUAGUUAGUUACUCAAAAAAACGUAUUUUAUUUCUUCCGUUAAAUUAAUGUACACGUGCAAAUAGUA